CGAUUCUUAAUUAUUAUUAUU
This 21-nucleotide small nuclear RNA is filed under the name Arabidopsis thaliana (thale cress). RNAcentral's name for it is "snRNA_04171". Lineage: Eukaryota; Viridiplantae; Streptophyta; Magnoliopsida; Brassicales; Brassicaceae. The record is from RNAcentral.